Phasianus colchicus (ring-necked pheasant) is the source of this 2293-nucleotide non-coding RNA. The record is from RefSeq and is a predicted model, not a curated record. NCBI's taxonomy places the organism in Eukaryota, Metazoa, Chordata, Aves, Galliformes, Phasianidae.
UUGUCCCUGUCCCAAAGCCCAGGAUCUAUUUGAAAUCCUUUGAUGCUUAUAUUCAUCACACCUGUUCGGUUGUUUUACCUCCAAAUAGCUGCUCUGUGGCUCGUCUUAAUCACAGUGCUCUUCUGUGCAGUCACAGGAAUUCUACUGGGGAAGAUUCCCGGAUAUUGUAAGCUUGUAGAAGGAUAGAGCGAUGUCCCCAGUAAUGCAGCAGAGACUAACCACAACAGGCUCCGGCACAACAUCACUAAGUGAGUCCGGUUCUCUGUCUCCUGCACUCUCUUUCCUCACUCAUCACUACAGCUGUCAGCCUUCUGGGUCCUUAUUGUGUUGUGCCAAGGGAUUAAACUUCUGGUUCUUCCCUUCCAGGAUGUGUCCACAAAGUUUUUCUUCACUCCAUUACUAUCUAGAAACUUUCCUUCUUGCUCUUUUUCUGUUGAAUUUCUCCAUACUUUUUGUCUCUCCCCAUAAGUCUCUCUGAUGGCAUUCACCAGGCUGCCUCCUGCCAUAGUCAUACCCUGCUGGAAAGUAAAUCACGAGUCACCCAAUUUUCUUCCCUUUUUAUUAUUCUUGUUUUUGCUAGGGGAGUUCAAGUGAACGAACAACCCCUGCAGACCUGGUGCUUUUCAGGAGCCUUAUACUCAUGGCCAGAACAAGUACAUAGGACAGGAUGAGAACCCAGCUAGACUGCAAAUAUUAGCCAUAGACCCAAAAACACAGACCUGUUUGAAUUCAGAGUAGCCAACAACACAAUUUGAAAUUAUUUUUCUGUGUCUCAGUCAUUCUCUUUAGCCAUAGUCAAAACCAUUUUAUGUACAUCCUUCUAUGGCUGCUGGUGUCACUCACCUUGUGUAGUGGGUACAAAGCCUUCCUCGUGUAAGCGCUUCUUUUGAAGGGGGAAGAGUGCAGGGUCUGGUGUGCAGCAGGAGUUAUUGAACAGAAGGCCUCGAAACAGAACUGUUGCUGGAGGGCUGUUUCUCUGAAACUUCAAACCCAGUGUGGAAAGCAUCAGGUCCAAAGUGAACUUUGUUUUCUUCUGUUUCAUAUUUUAGAAUUCCCUAAUUCUCUUCCAAGUGGAUUUGGGUAUGUUUAUGUUUCUUUUCAGCAGAGGGGAUAAUUAAAAUGCAGUUGUGAAUGCUAGUAAACAUUUUACACAAUCAUUUGUUCAUUAACAAGAAGUUUCCAAGGUAGUUACGUUUUAGCUCUAAAUUUUCAGCUUCUCUACCACCAGAUUCACAGAUAGACUAGGAUCAACAGUCUUACUAGUUGACAUGUUGAAACAGGACUACAGCUCUAGUGUAGCUUUAUCUUUUCUGUACCUUUUUGGGAGAAGUAUACACAUGCUCCUGAGCAAUUGAUUAUAAUCUUUCUAGAAGGGAUACUUUUGUUUCCUUGAGAUGUGGUGACUAGAGAUGAUUUAGUGUGUUGCUGUGCCCUGGAAAAUGUCUUAAAAGCUAAAAGUGUCCUGCUUUAUUUUUUUAUUAUUAUUUCAGGAAGGACACGUUUAGAAAAUCAGGAUGUGGAUGUCAUUUCUUCACUGAAAUUUUUAGGUGUCUUGUCUUCUUAUUUGAAGUGGUAUUCUCUUCUUCAAGUCCGGGCUCUCAGACUGCCUUUAUGGCUUAUGCUGGCACCACUAGCCCUUGAUGCAAGCAGAGUCCUGCAGUAUAGAUGGCUGCAGUUCUACUGUAUUGUGACAUGUAGGUGCCACACUGCAGCUGGCAGCCAGGUGUCUGGUAGGCAGGCUGCUAUUAGUUCCCUGAGCACUGGGAUGGCCGCAGGGCACUGCAGGAAGACUGGGACUGUGAGGAGCUGAAUAAAAGAGGCCAAAUGGAAGAUAGAAGUGGAUAGAGGAGAUUCAUGGCUACGUUAGAGCAGAGGAGUUGAGUGCUAAUAUUCUGAUGGCAUGAUCAAGUAGCUGGCAAGACACAUCUGCUGCCAUGAGAUGCCUCAGCCAAGGAUUUUGAGCCAAGAUAUGAGGGAAAUGAUUUAACCAGAUGUGUGCCCAUGUCUGCAAAACAGAAUUUUAAAUGCUGAAAUUUAAAAGCUUGCCAUCAUCUCCCCUGCCUCCCAGCAGCAAGGGAAGACUGAAAUCACUGAGAAUGGAAUCCAGUCCAUCUUCUGCUCUCCAAAUGCAGCGACAUCAUUUAUGGACUGAUCUUCUACAGCUUCCUUUGAGCACUAGAAUUUCCAGGUGCAUGUUUUCAGAGCACAAACAACCCCAGAAAAGCUGCUUUUCAAAAGGUAUGUCAUCUCUUGUUUAAACCAAAAAAAAUGAAAACUGAACUGUGAAAAAAUG